Podarcis lilfordi (Lilford's wall lizard) is the source of this 2255-nucleotide non-coding RNA. NCBI's taxonomy places the organism in Eukaryota, Metazoa, Chordata, Lepidosauria, Squamata, Lacertidae. The record is from the annotation of a GenBank genome assembly.
AAGGAGGGAGGAGGAACCCAGAACAAUGGUGCGCAAGCCCCUAUAUAGACUUUUGAAAUUGCCCACCCUGUCGCUCAAGACCACCGCCUAAAACAUACAUACAUCACAGAAGGAGGCGGAAAUCCUACAGCAGAAAUCCUGUCUGCCAGGAUACCUGAUAAUGGUCACUGAUUGCUUUACCUGGGCAGCCUGGCCAUUCUUUUUUGAUGGCAAAUACUUUAAUUCCUGAAACCAGGUCACAGGCUCACCCUGUUCAUACACACAUAUGCCCUUCAGACAGGUAAGCAAAAGACAAUGGGGAGGCUUUCCAUUUCCUUCCAGAAAUAUUUCCAGAGAAAUAUUUGAGGUCGAUUUGGGAGGGUCAAAAUGGCUUCAGGACUGCUCUCCUGUACUAUUUCAGACACGUGGUUUAUAUACUUAUGUAUGUGAUUGCCUUGUACAUUUAUGAACAUUUAUUUUAUAUUUGAGAACUUAGAAUUCUUGUAACACUAGCAAGGGUGCUGGAAGCUAUUACCACAUUGGAGGCUGGCACUGCCUCCAGCUGGAGUGAGUUCCAAAGUUCCAUUGCGCACUGUGUGAGGUUCUUUCCUCUGAAUCUUCCAGCAUUCAGUUUCAUUGGAUGGCCCCGCUGGGCUCUAGUAUUAUGAGAGAGGGAGAAAACCUUCCCUUGAUGAAGCACACACUCUUCUCUUUAAUAAAGGUAAAGGGAUCCCUGACCAUUAGGUCCAGUCGCGGCCGACUCUGGGGUUGCGGCGCUCAUCUCGCUUUACUGGCCAAGGGAGCCGACAUUUGUCGGCAAACAGUAUUUCCAGGUCAUGUGGCCAGCAGGACUAAGCCGCUUCUGGCGAACCAGAGCAGCUCACGGAAACGCCGUUUACCUUCCUGCCAGAGCAGUACCUAUUGAUCUACUUGCACUUUGACGUGCUUUCGAACUGCUAGGUUGGCAGGAGCUGGGACCGAGCAACGGGAGAUCACCCCGUCAGAGGGAUUCAAACCACCGACCUUCUGAUCGGUGAGUCCUAGGCUCUGUGGUUUAACCCACAGCGCCACCUGCGUCCCUCUCUUUAAUAAAGCAAGCCCCAAAUGACUGGGGGGCGGGGCGGGGGAAACUGAACAGAAGCUGAAUUGACCUCAACCCACCCAGUGAAUUACCUGGAAAAGAACUCACAAAAGGAGAGAAUUGCGCCAUCCGUUCAACGCUCCAUUCCCCAGCCGUCCCCCUUUCUGCCACCCCAGUUCCUUUCCAUGCUGGCCUGAGACAGGAAGGGGCUGGGGGCUAGCAGGGCAGAUGUGGAAAGGGAGAGAGCCAGGGAGGGAGGAGGGAGCUGAGAGCAGGAACCGGCUGCUGUGACAAACAGCCCAGGCUCCUGGGGGAGCAGGGGGAGGCCUUGCUGGAGGCUGCCCAUGGCGUUCAUGUGGCAACCCAGUCCCUUGGGGGGUUGGCAGGUGGGCCCCGCUGUGCUCCUGCCUGCUCCUGCCCCUGCCAGGGAAAAACAAGAGAUCCGCACUGGCAGAGGGCUGGAGAGGAAAGCCUGGAGGAGAAGCAGGACACCUUUUCAGCCAGGUCUUCCCCGGUUUCAUUCUGCUGGAAGGGGAAGGACCUGGAGCAUCCUUUGCCAGACACACCUGUAAGGAGCUGGCACGUCUGCCCUGGGCAAGAUGGCGCUGGAGUUUGAUGGAAUCACAGUGAGUGCAGAGCAGGGAGGGGGGCUCCCCAACGCUUUUCACGUGUGUACAUACAGACAUGUAUGCUUCCUUGCUGUCGGCUUCUCUACUAAGAUUGUCUGAACUACUUGUCCAGUAGUUGCUGGACUGCACUACUGCAGACCUUGGUGCCAAUCUAAGGAAUUACUCUUACAGUUGUUUCUGUAGCGAAUGGUAGUUGCUCCUUUGCCUGUCUCUCCUGCUCCCACAUCCUAGCUCCUGCUUCAGUGCCCGGCUCCUGCUGCCCUUGGGCUCUGGGGGAGAGUCACAGAGGUCCUUUGAAUGUGCACAAAACAAUAAACCUUUCUAUAUAAAAUUUCCAAUAUAUUCAGAAAACAAUAAAUCCUUAAUUGUUAUCCACAUUCAGUUAUAAGAUAAAACAUAUGCAAAGGACUUGAAAGGAAGUCAGAAUUGAAGAAAAGAUUUUGUAAGCUAAAAGGGGGGAAAUAUUUAUUUUCAUUAUUAUCAUUUUGUGUGUGUGUGUGUGUGUUUUGUAUGGGAUGUUUGUGAGGAAAUAAGACGGUAAAUAAAUACCGAAGUAUUGAUGUACG